GGGUGGUAAUGCCGGAUGCUCCAGUUGAUCGCAUGGUCUUCUGGGAAAGCUUUCGCGGUAUGGGAUGGGGUCGCGUCCUAUCAGCUUGACGGCGGGGUAACGGCCCACCGUGGCUUCGACGGGUAGCCGGCCUGAGAGGGCGACCGGCCACAUUGGGACUGAGAUACGGCCCAGACUCCUACGGGAGGCAGCAGUGGGGAAUAUUGCACAAUGGGCGCAAGCCUGAUGCAGCGACGCCGCGUGAGGGAUGGAGGCCUUCGGGUUGUAAACCUCUUUUAUCGGGGAGCAAGCGAGAGUGAGUUUACCCGUUGAAUAAGCACCGGCUAACUACGUGCCAGCAGCCGCGGUAAUACGUAGGGUGCAAGCGUUAUCCGGAAUUAUUGGGCGUAAAGGGCUCGUAGGCGGUUCGUCGCGUCCGGUGUGAAAGUCCAUCGCUUAACGGUGGAUCCGCGCCGGGUACGGGCGGGCUUGAGUGCGGUAGGGGAGACUGGAAUUCCCGGUGUAACGGUGGAAUGUGUAGAUAUCGGAAAAGAAACACCA
RNAcentral lists this ribosomal RNA (540 nucleotides) under Bifidobacterium longum subsp. infantis. RNAcentral's name for it is "bacterial SSU rRNA". It matches the Rfam family "Bacterial small subunit ribosomal RNA", at positions 158 to 711 of the family's 1533-position model. The record is from RNAcentral. Lineage: Bacteria; Bacillati; Actinomycetota; Actinomycetes; Bifidobacteriales; Bifidobacteriaceae.